GGCGUAGCUCAGCUGGUAGAGCAGCUGAUUUGUAAUCAGCAGGUCGUAGGUUCAAGUCCUAUUGCC
RNAcentral lists this transfer RNA (66 nucleotides) under uncultured Dialister sp. It matches the Rfam family "tRNA". From Rfam's summary of the family: Transfer RNA (tRNA) molecules are approximately 80 nucleotides in length. Their secondary structure includes four short double-helical elements and three loops (D, anti-codon, and T loops). Lineage: Bacteria; Bacillati; Bacillota; Negativicutes; Veillonellales; Veillonellaceae. The record is from RNAcentral.